CAUGUAAGUCGAACGAGAAAGAACUCCGCCUGUGAAUACAGUGGCGGACGGGUGAGUAACGCGUAGGAAUCUACCUAGUAGUGGGGGACAACUCGAGGAAACUCGAGCUAAUACCGCAUACGCUCUAUGGAGGAAAGUGGGGGAUCUUCGGACCUCACGCUAUUAGAGGAGUCUGCGUUAGAUUAGCUAGUUGGUGAGGUAAAGGCUCACCAAGGCUACGAUCUAUAGCUGGUCUGAGAGGACGAUCAGCCACACUGGAACUGAGACACGGUCCAGACUCCUACGGGAGGCAGCAGUAGGGAAUCUUGGCCAAUGGGCUGAAAGCCUGACCCAGCGAU
RNAcentral lists this ribosomal RNA (338 nucleotides) under uncultured Gammaproteobacteria bacterium. RNAcentral describes it as "bacterial SSU rRNA". It matches the Rfam family "Bacterial small subunit ribosomal RNA", at positions 54 to 395 of the family's 1533-position model. The record is from RNAcentral. Lineage: Bacteria; Pseudomonadati; Pseudomonadota; Gammaproteobacteria.